UGAGGAAUAUUGGUCAAUGGACGCAAGUCUGAACCAGCCAAGUCGCGUGAAGGACGACUGCCCUACGGGUUGUAAACUUCUUUUGUACAAGAGUAAAAUGUAGGACGUGUCCUAUAUUGCAAGUACUGUACGAAUAAGCAUCGGCUAACUCCGUGCCAGCAGCCGCGGUAAUACGGAGGAUGCGAGCGUUAUCCGGAUUUAUUGGGUUUAAAGGGUGCGUAGGCGGGAGAUUAAGUCAGCGGUGAAAGUUUGAGGCUCAACCUUAAAAUUGCCGUUGAAACUGGUUUUCUUGAGUAUAGAUGAAGUAGGCGGAAUUCGUAGUGUAGCGGUGAAAUGCAUAGAUAUUACGAAGAACCCCAAUUGCGUAGGCAGCUUACUAAACUAUAACUGACGCUGAUGCACGAAAGCGUGGGUAUCAAACAGG
RNAcentral lists this ribosomal RNA (424 nucleotides) under uncultured Dysgonomonas sp. RNAcentral describes it as "bacterial SSU rRNA". It matches the Rfam family "Bacterial small subunit ribosomal RNA", at positions 355 to 776 of the family's 1533-position model. The record is from RNAcentral. Lineage: Bacteria; Pseudomonadati; Bacteroidota; Bacteroidia; Bacteroidales; Dysgonomonadaceae.